AAGUCGUAACAAGGUUUCCGUAGGUGAACCUGCGGAAGGAUCAUUAUUGAAUGUAAUUCAAAGAGUUGUAGCUGGCAUUUUGGUGCAUGUGCACACUCUUUGUUACUAUUUUUCCACCUGUGAACCUUUGUAGACUAUGAACAAACCUCAUCUGAAAAUGAUGGAUUGAAGGUGUUGCUUUUUAACUAAAGCUUCCUUUGUAGUUCAUAGUCUAUGUCUUUACAUACCCUUCACAAGUUAUUGAAUGUCAAUUUACUGGUCUUUUGACCUUUAAAAAACUAUACAACUUUCAGCAACGGAUCUCUUGGCUCUC
Molecule: unclassified non-coding RNA, 313 nt
Filed under: air metagenome
Description: partial contains small subunit ribosomal RNA, internal transcribed spacer 1, and 5.8S ribosomal RNA
Rfam family: Eukaryotic small subunit ribosomal RNA (bases 1-46)
Source: RNAcentral